This 413-nucleotide ribosomal RNA is filed under the name uncultured bacterium. Its description in RNAcentral is "bacterial SSU rRNA". It matches the Rfam family "Bacterial small subunit ribosomal RNA", at positions 28 to 439 of the family's 1533-position model. The record is from RNAcentral.
GAUGAACGCUAGCGGCAGGCUUAAUACAUGCAAGUCGAGGGGCAGCAUAAGUAGCAAUACUUGAUGGCGACCGGCAAACGGGUGCGGAACACGUACGCAACCUUCCUUUAAGUGGGGAAUAGCCCGGGGAAACCCGGAUUAAUGCCCCGUAAUAUUAUGAUGUGGCAUCACUUUAUAAUUAUAGAUUUAUCGCUUAAAGAUGGGCGUGCGCCUGAUUAGGUAGUUGGCGGGGAACGGCCCACCAAGCCAGCGAUCAGUAACUGGUGUGAGAGCACGACCAGUCACACGGGCACUGAGACACGGGCCCGACUCCUACGGGAGGCAGCAGUAAGGAUAUUGGUCAAUGGACGCAAGUCUGAACCAGCCAUGCCGCGUGGAGGAUGAAGGUCCUCUGGAUUGUAAACUUUCUUUUA